UCUGACUCCACCACAGUCCUCAUGCCUUUCACAGUCAUGUAGCUGGGUUUGCCUCAAAACUGUAUGUCUUAGCUACAUCACACAUGAGUUUGAGACAUAAUUAAUAUUAAUAAAGACCAUUAUGUAAAAUUAGCCACAGACAGGAGAUUCUUUAAAAGGUGAAAUCAUAAUAGUCAUGAUCAGAGUGUCUGUGUUGCUGGGAAACUGGGAGCUGUCCUGGGCUGCUCCUCAAUAUUUGCCUUUCAUUACAGAUCUUUUCUCCCUACUUGUGGAAAAUGGGGUUUUAAAGGAGAGAAACAAUGAUGACUACAAAGAAAAUUCUUUCUCUGAGUUUUGGCAUUUUUUGCAGUUGGGUCUCGGGUCUGGCAGCUCAAAGACAUGUGGAGAUUCCUUAGCAAUUCCCUGCAAGGAAAACCAGCAGCAGCACAGAUACCUUGACUGCUGGGCAUUAUUUACAGCUCAUACAGAAAACCAGGAGCAGUCUUACAGCACACUGCUAACCUGUCCAGGCUGGAUUUUGGAACAGCUGAAGCAUGGUACGAAGACACUCUCUGGCACUGGAUGUGAACCUCCCUCCCAAGCCAGGACACCUGCAGGAGGAGGAAAGCUCUGCUGGCCUGCUCAGGGAGAAAAGCACGACACCAUUUACACCUCAGUUGGUCUUUCCUGUCUUGUGGGGUGGGACUGGACAGGACAAGGGCUGGAAUGGCGUGUCCUGCCUGCGGGAUAGCCUUUCACAAGGGAGAGCAGAGCGACUGAGGCAGCUGAAAUCCAUGUUCCCUGUAGGUCCCUUCCAAAUGAAUUAUUCUAAAUCUACUUCUAUUUUCACCAUCCAUCACCCAGAACCACGGAGUUUUGCCUGUAGCAGUCAAAUGUCUCCAUGUGAAGCCCUGUGUGGUCCAAGGAGUUGUGUUACCCCCUCGCCACAUCACGUGUGGAAAGUGUGAAAAGCCAGCAAAAAGGCAGCACAGGAAAGGAAGCCAGGGAGGGAUUGGCAGGGGUGUCUGCUGAGAUGCUCAAGGAUCCCUGAGAAGCAGGAGGAGCUACAGGAGCUCUCCUGAGCCAGGAAGGGCACUGAAGCUGUUCACCUGACUACUGAUGGACCUCAUUUCCCCCAGUCUACCCUUAAGAGCCCUCUAAAAGCCCCAGCUCUUCCACUCUGGGGGAUGCAUGAAAUGUGAGAUGUAUUAGAUGCAUUCGGCAAUAGCAGCAAACUUAGAGAAAACAGGAAAAUCAACAGCAACAACAACAGAAAAAGGAAUCUUGAAAUUUGGCAGAAAAAAAAUGCAGUGCAAAGCCCACAAGAAGGUGAGCAUCUUUGCACAAAGCCACUUACGGAUGCAUUCCUUAAAGGUAAUCCCUUCAGACAGUGUGAGGCUGCCAUUUCUUUGAAAGAUAUUAAAGCAGCUGUUGCUAGAACACAGAGAAUUACUGAGCUAUCUGCCAAGGGAUGGACCUUUGUAAUGCUAUAUUUACUUUCUUUUUUUUUAAUUUACAGUUUAUUUUGAUACCAAAUUUUCAGCUAGUGAAGGUAAUUGAGACUGCAAACAAAAUCUCACUAUCCACUGAUCUGCCAAAUCAAAUUUUUUCUCCUGUAAGUAUAGUGUUUUUCCUUAGCUUCAGAGAGGAAAACAAUUAUGCAGAAUGAAUGAGAAAGCAAAGGGGUUAGUUUAGGAAGGGAUUAGUUUAUAUAAUGACCAUAGCAGCCAUCUCUCCAUUGAUCUGUCGUAGCUCAUUCCCAAAGAUGUGAAUUAUUACUAUUGUUAUUUACAACAGAGCUUGUCCAUUUUCCUUCUGCUGCAUCUGCUUACCACUCUCCAAAUUAACACAUAUUUCAUAAAAACUAAAUAUCCUGACUAUAGCUGGGAUACUGGAUGACCCCAGCUGAGAUAUGGAUGCAGCAAGAUUCUUCCCAUCUUUGUGUUGCCCUCCUGGAAUGACUGUGCACUGCCCUGGUCCUCAAAAGGAAUCAAAGUAGCCAUGAGGCUAUUUUGAUGACUUUUGGCUACCAGAGGCCUCAAAAGAGGGCAUCUAAGGCAGUAAAUUAGUAGCUGUGUGUCUCCUGUGCUGUUUGCAAGUUGUGUGGUGUUUCUGAGGGGUCUCUAGGAGCUCUCUGUCUCUGGAGCAGCUCCUGCUCCAUGACGUGCCCCUACACCAGCACAGGGGCUGGGUGGAUGGCAGCAGGAAUGGCUCAGGGAGCUGAGCUCCCCUCGUGGCUUCUUCCCUAGCUAAUGUCAGAAAACAGAACAGCUCUAAAGGUCUUCAAAAUGACAUGGGAUUUUUGUUCUCUUUGGGGACUACUCGCACUCCCAUGGACCAGUCCCAUCCAUCUGGUUCUCCUGGGCUGUGGUAAUCAAAUCUGAUGCCAACAUGUCAACUGGGCUUUCCUCCUUCUCUCUCCUGUCUGCACUGAGAUUUUCAUUGGCAUCAACUCUUACUGAGAGAUGUUUUUCAAUCAAAGUGUUGAAGAGUUCAACGCUUGUUCAUACGCUUGUUCUCCUGAAGUCGCUUUAACACUUUUGUAGCUCUAAGGUGAGCCAAUUCACCUCUAAAAUUCAGGUAUUCACACCUAAUCACUCCAGCAGGGUGCUCCUCCAGGGUGGGAAGCAGCCCUGAGGUGACAGCUCUGCAGCAUUUUGGGGGACUCCGAAAAGUGAUGGGAUUUAACUCUGAAGAACUCAUAGAAAACUCACAGAGCCUCUGUCCUUCACUUCAAAACAUCUGUUAAUUCUACUUGUGUGCUCACCAUCGAAAGCCUGCCUAUAUUUUUCCUUUCAGGUUUGUGAAAAUAAGCACCCGUGAAUGAAGAUGAAAGAGAAAUGUUGCUGGUUUCUUCCCUGGAGAUCGUAUUUCUUACUUGUUGCAUAACUGCUUAUUUUAGCAUCAAUCAGCCAAGCCUUUGUUGUGCAGACAAUUCUGUCCUUUUAAAGGAUUUGUGCAGUAUUGUUUCUUCCAAAACGCAUUUUUUUUUUGUUUUUAUUAUUAGAUUUAUUUGCUAUCUUAGCAAAUGCCAACUGACAACACCCUGCAACACCCUGUCAGAGCUCUUCAUAAGUGUUACAUAAAUGUCAUACUAUGUAAACUGCGUGUUGUAUGUAACAUAUACAUGACCUUUCUGGAGAACCAUCCAUCAGGUGCUGUGUGUGUCACGUUCAUGCAUUUGUACACAAACUGUGUUUAAGUGUGCAUAUAUGGUAGCCAAAAAUCUCUUUAGGGGAGUACUCAAAAAGCAGAGCUGUCCAAACUCUUGUCAGUGCAACUUCAUCUACACCCUUUAGCUGAAGCAGAACAAGACUUCAGUUGCAUGUCCAGAUACUCCUUUCCUUCUGCACCACUGUGUGUGCAGUGAGAUGGUCAGAGAGGGGCUCAGCAAUGCCAUUGCUCAGCACAUGAGCCUAGGCAGAGCACAUUAUCCAGAGCACUACCCACACGUCUGGUCACUUUUGGAUUUCACAGCAAUAGAAAACACAGCUCCAAUAUUUCUCCAUGCAGUUUUCAAAACAGAGCAAGGUGCUCAUGUUCUGGAUGGUAAAAAUCUACUCAGGUUGCAACCAGGCAUGCUGUGGACCUGCCAUGCCCUGCCAUGAGCUUCUUGAGAGGUGUACUCCAGAAAUCCUGGAGAAAUGGCCCAGAGGGUGGUAAGGCUGUAGCAUGCUGCACAGGACCAGAGCAGCGACCUGCAGGUUCCUCAAAAGACAGAAUUAUUAAUUUCCUCAUGGCUUUUUCUAUGGCACUUUCCACUACACUGCCUCAGUGCUUCAGCACCUCCAUUAAUCCUCCCCAAACACUCAUUCUGAAGAUGGGUCAGAGUGACACAUGGAUGGAUUAAGGUCAGUUUUGACUAAUUCAGGGCACUCCAUCUGAAAAGCAUAACGUCUGCGUUUUCAGAGCAUUUAACAUGAUACAGCACUUCAUACAUGCAAGCACAGCACCCACUGCUUCCAGCUGCACAAAGAUGGAUGUCAGCAAUUCAGGCUAAAGGCUUCCAGCCACGCACCACAGUGUGGGCAAUACAGCCAGCAGCA
Molecule: long non-coding RNA, 4025 nt
Organism: Passer montanus (Eurasian tree sparrow)
Lineage: Eukaryota; Metazoa; Chordata; Aves; Passeriformes; Passeridae
Exons: 3
Source: RefSeq, a predicted model, not a curated record